RNAcentral lists this long non-coding RNA (8222 nucleotides) under Podarcis lilfordi (Lilford's wall lizard). Lineage: Eukaryota; Metazoa; Chordata; Lepidosauria; Squamata; Lacertidae. The record is from RNAcentral.
UCCCGUGGCCACCUCUAGUCAAGCAGAUUUCUCAAACAAUAUGGUACCCUGCAAACCAUGUUCAAUAGAGAUGAAAAUGGAGUGUAGAUCAGAGGUGGAAGAAACUGGUCUCUCGAUUUCUCAUUUUUCCAGCCUUAAGUUCUGUUCUCCACAUUUCCACAUCUCUUUGUGAUGGUGAAAGAAUUGAAGUCCUCAUGAAAAUCCACCAGCACAUUAGUGCAAAUGACUCCUAACACACACAUUCUUUGCUAUGUGAUAUUGCCUAACAUGCACAUUUUUUGCAUAUCAAUUUCAUUUAUUUUUAUGUUCUCUUCACAAACAUUUUUGCAUGUUAUUUUCACAAACAUUUUAAUGCAUGCUUUAUCGCAGUAUGUGGUGCUUUCCCCUCCAUGUUACUUGACUGGAGAGCUGCAUUGCAAAAUUCAGAGAAGUGUGAAUUUCAAAGGAUAGCUGCGUUUCGGUUUGUGCAUUGUUUCUGAAAGUGUGAAUGGGGUAGGUUCACCUUUAAAUGUGAACUGAAUCUGACUUCUCCCCCAUUCGUGGCAGAGAGGGUGGGUGGAAGAGUCUGGAUUUCCCUAGAAGCAGGUGCAAGAUGCCUUUAGGAGCUUCCGGGACGCCGCGGCCACGGGAAGGAGCGCGAGGCAACUCGUCUGAGGAGCCUCGAACAGCGUGGGGGUCUUAGAGGGGUCACGAAGGCUCCGUGAACCCCUAAACCACAGGUGGAAUAUCCUGUUGGUCAAAACACCCAGCAAGGCUGCGUGUGCUCGCCUGUGUUGCCGGCGUUUAACAAGGCUGGAGCCGCAGCGAGAAGGGGAAACAUCAGACUCCAUGCUGUGAAGCCUCAGGCUCCGAGUGAAAGCGGCGGACCUCCAACAACAGAGGAAAAGCUGGGAAAUAGUUCUAAAGCUUUGAUGAAAGCAGAGGAGGGAGAACACUGGAAAACAAUCAAAGUAAAAACAAAAGGAACGUUGAAUGAAGUUGAAUGAAGUACCCAGCGGAGAAGUAAUUAAAGACAAAGGAAGGAGGAAUUCACUACUGGCGGUAAGAAUGAUAAAGGAGUAAAGCGAAAAGCUGGCAGACGUGAAUGAAAGAGCAAGAAAGUAACCGCUAGCGAGGGGAAGGAAUAUCCUCGAUAAUAAAGUACAUUUUACAAAGUACAAAGUACAAAGAGUUGGAAGCAAGGUAAUACUGAGUUUUCUUCUUUUGAUAGAGAGACUCUUUACCGGGUUUGAGAGGAGGAAAGGAGGUUUCUGGGGCAUUUGGUUGAUGCUUUAACUGACAGGUUUUUUGAGGACGUUAUUGUUAACAUCAACUUUUUGUUUGAAGUGGGUGGAAGAAAGCAUGGGUCUUCCCAGACCUUAAUGUUGGUUUUAUGUUAGUGACUUCCCAUGGGUAUAAAAAGGGAGGAGGAAGCCAUUUCGAGACCUAACUUGGCUUUGCUAUCCGCCAUUCCAUCUUGUCCUUGAUCUACUACGCCUCUGCAUGUAUUUGAGAUUUAAAGGGACAUGCGCCAAAAGCCAAAUAGGAGAAUUUAAACCAGCAUAAAGAACACUUCCUGAAGAACUGCCAAGUCUCCAGUAAAGAAAAAUUUUUGGUGACGCCAGACCUCUAUAAUACCACCCUCUAAGAGGACAAAGACUGUAAAAGGUAAAGAUUGUAAAACUUUGUGUAUAGCCUGAUGUGUGAUGCCUAAUAUCUGCUAUUAUACCCCAACACCAGACCCGGUAACUUAUUAACCCAUCAGAGAUUAUCGGUGAUCCUGUGCCUCAUCCCUUUUUGAAUAACAUUAGUGUGGUGGACCCCAAGACCUUUCAAGCCUACAAAAUGACAAACGGUGCAAAAAAAGGCGUGGCAACACCAGCGGAAAGGAGGUCGUCGAGGCAAGAAGAUGCUAAGGAAAGUAAAGAAAUUAAAGACUAUAGCAGUCUGAUGGCCGAAAUAAGGAAAGAAUUCAAAAAUAAUGAACAAUAUAUUGAGAGAAAAUUACUUGAGGUACAGGACACUUUGGAUAAGAAAUUGGAGGGAGUGGUGGGGAAUUGACAGGAAAGGUUAAAGAUUUAUCAGUAAGAACUAAGGUUUUGGAAGAUUCAAUGAAAAAGGUGCAAAAAGAUACGAAAAUUAGUAAGAAGGAGGUGGAUAGAAUUAGAGUAGAAGUUAAAGAGAUAGAAAGAGUGCAGGAGGAGUUGUUGGACAAUAUGGCUAUGACGCAAAUGAGGCAAAAUCAAACCAACCUAAAACUGAGGGGUGUACCAGAGACCCCAAAUGAGAAUAUUAGAUCUAAAAUGAUAAAAGAGCUGGCAACUUGGUUAAAUAAGAGCGAGGAGGAGGUAAACUGCCAUUUAGUAAAUAUUUUUCGAAUAAGACCAAAAUCAGACAGAGCCAGAAAGAAAAAGCUGCCAGGUGAUGUAAUUGUCAUGUUCAACACUUUGGAAAUAAGAAAUGAAAUACUGCAACAGAACCACAUAAAAGGUUAUAUAUUGGAGGAAGCCCAAUUAUUAUCUUUAGAGAAAUUCCUUCGAGAUUUCUUCGAAGGAGAGAGCCAUACAAAAAUUAACAAACCAAUUGAAGAAGAAUGGGAUAUUGUAUAGAUGGGAGUUUCCCGACGGCAUUUCAUUCUAGUUUAAGGAAAAAGGUUUAAAUUAAGCACCAGUAUUGAACUCCAAAAAUUUGCGAGGAGAUACGAGAAGGACCUGGGAAAAGUUGAAGGGGAGGUGGAAAGGGAGGAACGACAGAGAGACGAGGAGGGUGAAGGGAGUGAAGAAGAAGAAAAAGAGGAGAGCUUAACAGGAGAAGGAGAAGAACAAGAGGAGGAAAGCAAGGAACAGUAGUCUCUAUUUAAUCUAGUUAAAUUAGCUAGAAUAGUUUAAUAGAUGGCUUUAAAAACAAUAAGCUGGAAUGUCAAUGGUUUGAACAAUAAAAAUAAGAGGAAUCAGAUUGCACAUGUAUUGUUGAAAAAGAAUUGGGAUUUAAUUUGUCUUCAAGAAACGCAUGUUAUAGGAAAACACAAGAGAGUAUUAAGUAAUAAGAGAUUGGGAUUGGACUUUGUGACCUCCGACAAGGUUAAGAAAAGAGGGGUAGUAAUUUAUAUAAAGGAAAAAUAUGACCCGCAACUACUGUAUAAAGAUGAACAUGGGAGAGUAGUGGUGGUACAGAUGGUGUUUCAUGGAGAAAAAUAGUUGUGGUUGGAAUAUACGCCCGAAUGAGAAAAAAUCAGCUUUCUUUUGGAAUUAGAUAAUAUACUAAUGGAAUGGAUGGACCAGAAAAUGAUAUUGAUGGGAGAUUUUAAUGGGGUGGUGACGCCGAAUAUGGAUAGAUUAACAAAAAGACAAGAUGGGAAAGAAGGUAAACUACCACGAUCUUUCUUCGACAUGGUAAAUAAUUUGGGAUUGACGGAUGUUUGGAGGUUUAAAAACCCUACUGCAAAACAAUUCACUUUUUUUUCAAAUCCGAAUCAGAGCUGGGGGAGGAUAGACAGUAUUUGGGUCUCGAGGGAAUUGGUACAGAAUUUAAUUAAGUCUGAAAUUUGGCCUCGAACUUUAUCUGAUCAUAGUGCGGUUUCCAUGGAGUUAAAAGGUAGAGAGGUUAAAACAGCCAGAUGGAGAAUGAAUGAAUAUUUAUUCAAUGAUCAAAGGAUAGUAAAUAAGGCUAUAGAAACAAUUGAAGAAUACUUUAGGUGGAAUUUAAAUGGAGAAACUUCCAUAGAGAUGGUGUGGGACGCAGGAAAAGCGGUCAUGAGGGGUUUUUUGAUUCAGAAAAAUACCCAAUUAAGAAAAGAAAAAGAAAAAAAGAAAGAGCAGAUUUUAAUACAGAUUAUGGAAAAUGAAAGAAAAUUAACUGUUAACCCUAGUGAAGAGAGUUUAAAACAGAACUUAAAAAUACUACAAGCUAAAUUUGCUACAAUAAUUAACCAAGAGAUAGAGUGGAAAAUUAAAAGGAUGAAUCAAAAGAACUUUGAGUCCGCAAAUAAGAUAGGGAAAUAUCUAGCGUGGCAGUUGAGAGAAAGGAAGAAGUUGAAUACGAUCAGUAAAAUAAAAGAAGGAGAUAUGAUUAUGGAAGAACCAAAAGAAAUAAAAAGAAUAUUCCAAAGAUAUUAUAAGGAUUUGUACAAAAGAGGAGAGGAAACAGAACAAGAAAUAGAUCAAUUUCUGCAAAAACACCAUCUGGAACAAAUUGUAGAAGAUGAAAGAGCAGCACUAGAUGAGAUAAUAACACAGGAAGAGAUAAAAAGGCUAUUAAAAAGAUGAAAGCUGAGAAGGCGCUGGACCGGACGGCCUUCCGGCCAAAUAUUAUAAAACAUUAAUUAACCAAAUAUCACCAGUGCUGGGAGAGGUUAUGAACAAUAUAUUGAGAGAAGGAAAGAUACCUAAUACCUGGAAGGAAGCCUAUGUUAUAUUGAUCCCUAAAAAAGAGGUGGACACUAUGGAAGUAAAGAACUAUAGGCCAAUCUCAUUAUUAAAUAAUGAUUAUAAGCUAUUUGCAGACAUAAUGGCGGAAAGAUUAAAGAAGGUCUUGAUUAAUAAAAUUCAUGGUGAUCAAACAGGAUUUCUCCCAGGGAGACAAUCACGGGAUAAUGUAAGGAAUUUGAUUGACAUUAUUGAAUACCUGGACAUGAAAAUAGACAGAAAAGCCGCACUGGUUUUCAUAGACGCCGAAAAGGCAUUUGAUAAUGUUUCCUGGAACUUCCUAAAGAAGGCUUUGGAAAGGAUGGGAAUUGGCGAAAAAUUUAGAAGAGGCAUAGAAGCAAUAUACAAAGAACAGAAAGCAAAGCUGGUGAUAAAUAACAAUACAACAGAAUAUUUUAACAUUUAUAAAGGGACCAGACAAGGUUGCCCCCUGUCCCCCUUAUUAUUUAUUGUAAUUUUGGAAGUACUUAAUAAGAGACUGAGGGAGGCAACAGAAGUGAAAGGAAUUAGAGUAGGAAAGAAGGAAUUCAAAAUUAAAGCCUUUGCCGACGAUAUUGUUUUGACUUUGGAAGAUCCACAAGAUAGUGUAAAAGAAGCAUUACAAAAAUUGAGGAAUUUGGAGAGGUGGCAGGUUUUAAGGUAAACAAGAAUAAAACUAAAAUGCUGGUUAAAAAUCUAACUAAGGAAGAAACGAAAGAUCUAGAACAAAAAGUGGAAAUCAUGGUGGUGAAAAAGUGAAAUAUUUGGGAGUGUGGAUUACGGCAAAAACAUAAACCUAUAUAAAGAUAAUUAUGAAGUUACAUGGAAAAAAAUAAAGAAAGAUCUGGAAAUAUGGGGAGGAUGAAAUUUUCCUUUUAGGGAAGAUAGCAGUGGUUAAAAUGAAUGUUUUGCCGAGGAUGUUGUUUUUAUUUCAAACUCUUCCAGUUAUUAAAGGUCUAAAACAAUGUAAAGAAUGGCAGAGAACCCUGAUGAAAUUCAUCUGGCAGGGGAAAAGACCAAGGAUUAAAAUGAAAAUACUAAUUGAUAAAAAGGAAAGAGGAGGUUUUGCCCUCCCAGAUUUGAGCCUAUAUUAUGAAGCAGCGUGCCUACUUUGGUUAAAAGAUUGGAUAAAAUUGGAGAACAGAGACCUACUGGAUUUAGAAGGUUUCAAUAACCGGUAUGGGUGGCACGCAUAUCUCUGGUACGAGAAGGUGAAAGUCCACAGGGCUUUCUUAAACCAUAUUUUCAGGGGACCAAUAUAUCAGGUCUGGGAAAGAAAUAAGAACCUUCUCGAAAGAAAAACACCAUGGUGGAUUUCACCAGUAGAGGUCUUAACAAUAAAAAAAACCAACAUGGAAGGGAAGACAGCCACCUACGAAGAUUUGCUAAGAAAAUCAGAACAAGGGCUUAAACUUAAACCGUAUGAGGAAAUAAAGGAUCAAUUCACCGGCUGGUUACAAUAUCAUCAGGUGAAUGAUAUGUUAAAACAAGAUAAAAGAAAAAUGGGCUUUGAGGACAAGAAAUCAAAAUUCAAUAUAGAAAUAAUAGAAGGCAAAAACAAAACAUUGUCUAAAUUAUAUGACAUAUUACUGGAAUGGCAUACAAAAGACGAGGAAGUCAAAGAGGCAAUGAUUAAAUGGGCAAUUGACUUCGGUUAUAACAUCGAGUUUGAAAAGUGGUUGAAAUUGUGGAAUAGAGACAUUAAAUUUACGGCCUGUACGAGUUUGAGAGAAAAUGUUUGGAAAAUGCUCUAUAGAUGGUAUCUUACGCCGGCAAAAUUGGCUAAAAUCUAUAGAUCAGAAAAUAAGACAUGCUGGAAAUGUGGUGAAGGGGAGGGAGACCUCUACCAUAUGUGGUGGCAAUGCAGCAAGGUGAAGGUUUUUGGGAAGCAAUUUAUAAUGAACUUAAAAAGUUUUUAAAUACACUUUUCCCAAGAGACCUGAGGCCUUUUUGCUGGGAAUAAUGGGUAUUUCUCUAUGCCACCACAGCCGCAAGAAUUAUGCUGGCACAAAACUGGAAAAUAGAAACUAUUCCUAACAUAAGUGACUGGCAGGUCAAAAUGAUCAACUAUGCCGAGCUAGAUAGAUUAACAGGCAGAAUACGAGACCAAGACGACCAGAAAUUUCAAAAAAUUGGAGUAAGUUUUGGAAAUAUAUUGGAACGGAUAUAUAGGAGGAACUGGCGGUAUUAGAAAACUUUAUCAGCUAAUAACUAUAAACUUUAAUAAACUAAUUACGCAACCCGGGACUUAUUUGAUACUUACCAAAAGGGUGAAGGGAAGUCAAAGGCUAAGGAGAGCCUAAUGGUUAUAUUAUUAUUUUUUGUAUGAACAUAUGCUUUUUUUGUAUAGUAUGAAAAUAGGAUGAAUAAUUUAUGUUAAAAUGUUUAUUUUUGUAUUUGUUAGUUCUUUUUCUUUUCUUUAUACAAAUUCUGAAUAAAAAUUUACUUGCAAAAANNNNNNNNNNNNNNNNNNNNNNNNNNNNNNNNNNNNNNNNNNNNNNNNNNNNNNNNNNNNNNNNNNNNNNNNNNNNNNNNNNNNNNNNNNNNNNNNNNNNAAAAAAAAAGAAGCAGGUGCAAGGGGCCGAAUCGCAGCUCCAGCUCUGAGCGUUGCUUCUCUUCCCUCCUGCCAGGCAGCAUGUCAAGGAGCAGCUGAGAUAAAUUGCAACGCCUCCCACUCUCCUGGCCCAUUUCUUUCUUAUGAAUGUGUAAUGUAUGCUAAUGAAUUCCUCAGUUUGGGGGCAUAUGGUUAAGACAUAUAGAUAGAGCCUAAUCUUAGGAGGAGGAAGAAAGGGGCUUCCAUGCUACAAGCUGGGGGUGGGCAGGGAAGGAGAGAGGGAGGGGUGUGUACUGGGUGUUGCCAAAUAGACAUUUGGGCCAGUGGGAGCAACACUGGUUGGUCUCGAGAUUUACCGUAUUUAUUUAUUUUGGAGGAAAGGAAGAGGAAAGCGCAUGACUGAUUUCUCCAUGGGGGGGUGGAAUGAGAGAGAGAGAGAGAAAAAAAAAUGUAUUGCAAAGUUAUGGAAUAAUGGCAAAGAUAUUGUUAAAGAGAAAAGAGAGGAGGCAUAAAUUAUUUUAUUGAUUAAUUGAUUGAUUUUUAUUGAUUAAAUAUCUAUCCCACCCUUCUUCCCAAAGGAGCCCAGGGCAGCAGCAGAAAGUCUCCAAGGUGCCCCACCCCCUAGAAAGCAUAUUAAACUCCCUCCUGUCCCCUUCCAUACCGCCUCUGUCUCUGGAGGUGGUACAUGGCCAUCAUGACUAGUUGCCACUGAUAGCCUUCAUCUCCCAUGAAUCUGGUCCAAACUGGUCCAAGUUGAAAGCCAUCACUACAUCUUGUGGCAGCACACAUGGACACAGAACAAAAGAACAUAGAAAUCAAAGGUCAUCUCCUGCCCACUGCAACACACGUUGUUCCUGGUUUCUGUGCUGAUCAGAGCCACAGCGGAAAAGAACCUUGCAAGCACGUCCCUGAUUCUGGAGUUGUUACACAUCUAGACCAAGGAAGUUCUCCCACCUUAAAGGUCUUCUUCUCAAAGGAAGGAGUAGUUUUCCACAGGCAAGAACUGGAGGCAUGUAGCCACUCUCCUUUUAGUUUGAAAUAAAACAGGAAAGCCUACAGACACAAGAACCCCUUGCACAUCACAACAUUCCCAAAGGUCUUUCCCUCUUGUCCAUUGAGUUUCAAAACAAAAGGCCUGCAGGCAUUUAGAGAAUACUAAAAAGAAGGCUGUAUUUCUCUCUCUCUCUCUCUCUCUCUCUCUCUCUCUCUCUCUCUCUGUCUCUCUCUCUCUCUCUGAGUCAGAUAAAGCCCAGUGAUGGAGCCCCCUUAUCCCAGCUGUGGUGCGC